GCGCACCCCUGAUAAGGGUGAGGUCGGCAGUUCGAAUCUGCCCAGACCCACCA
Molecule: transfer RNA, 53 nt
Filed under: Pseudomonas fluorescens
Lineage: Bacteria; Pseudomonadati; Pseudomonadota; Gammaproteobacteria; Pseudomonadales; Pseudomonadaceae
Description: tRNA-Ser
Rfam family: tRNA
About the family: Transfer RNA (tRNA) molecules are approximately 80 nucleotides in length. Their secondary structure includes four short double-helical elements and three loops (D, anti-codon, and T loops).
Source: RNAcentral